UAUUUUAUAAUGUAUGAAGCAUAAAGAUUUUUGAUAUCUUCAGAGAUAGUUUAAUUCUAUUUAAAAUAC
This 69-nucleotide transfer RNA is filed under the name Asicimbex sp. CSCS-Hym-MC0132. RNAcentral describes it as "tRNA-Gln". The record is from RNAcentral. Lineage: Eukaryota; Metazoa; Arthropoda; Insecta; Hymenoptera; Cimbicidae.